Molecule: long non-coding RNA, 1345 nt
Filed under: Homo sapiens (human)
Lineage: Eukaryota; Metazoa; Chordata; Mammalia; Primates; Hominidae
Description: HSALNT0399972
Source: RNAcentral
UGGAGGAGGGGUGCCCUUCAUCAUCUUGUGAGCAUCUGGGCCAAGUUCAGGGCUGGUGCUCUCGUUCAGAUAGAUUUAGCUGGUGGUGCAGAGAUCCGUGAGCUUGCUUUUACAGGACUUUAAUGAUAUAUAAAAGCAGCACGAGGUGCUCCUGACUGUGGAUUAAUUUGGAGAUGACUUUCUCUGUUGAAGAGUAGCAAGACUCUCGCGAGUUCUUAAAAAUGCACUUGUUUGGUAUGAGAAUGAAAAGCAGUGGCUGAAGAACCAAUCUUCAAUGGGCAAGCCUUCUCUGUGUCUGUUCUAACACGUGCCAUUUGGGAUCCCUUGGAAUCUUCAUGUACAGAACUGGUUGCUGCCUCGUUGAGUCGGUGGGGACAGAAUAGCUCCUGGUUGACAGCAUGGGUUGUGCAGAAGGACGGAUCCUGCAGACAUCAAUAUCUGGCUUUGAGUGGCACAAAGAAAUAAAGGAAUGUGGAUUCAGACCUCACUGGGAUGCUUGGCAAUUCUAAUUCUACCCCAGACUGCAAAUGGACACACAACUGUUGUGACUUUUGUUGAAGAGGAGAAGGAUGGACUUGCCCUGAAUUCUUUCAUGUGCAAUAUCCGAAAACCCUCUCUUGGGGCCUGGAUCAGGACCCCUUUCCUAUAACAUCUUUCUGGCGACAACAAAGGGACAAUGGUGUGGAAUCCCCCUUCCCAAAUGCUACUUUUAGAUAUCACCUUUUGUCGGAACUUGGAGUUGGUAAUGACCUUCACCAUACCACCACUCUGGGACUGAGCUUCUCUCUACCCUGAUGCAAGAGACCCUAAUAGGCAGGAAUAUGACCACCCCUAUUCAGCCUGAAGAAGUUACAGAAGUUCUGAAACCCUUAGAAAUGAGGGUCUUCUUGUAAAGGGAGUGGGGAGAUAUAUCAGAGGCAUUUGAACCAGAGCAACUCCAUCUUGAGUGAGGGCUAGGAAAAUGAGGCUAGGACUUGCUGGGCUGCAUUCUCAGAAAGUCAGUCAUUCCUAGCCUCUAGAUGUUUACGGUUAAGGGAACAAAUUUAUAACAUUUACUAAACACACCCAGACUUGGGAGUGUCCAGAUAUCCCAAUAUCUGGAGAACAAAGGCAUUCCUAAUUUUGCUUUAAAGACAAUAAUAUUGAUUCUUGCAAAAUAUAGUAAUUAAGAAAAUUAAUCCUUUAUCACAAACCCUUGUAGUAAAACACAUCUCCCCAUAUAUACAAGCAUUGUACCUAAGGUGGAUGCGUUCCAUCUCUUACUUUCAGGAAUGUCCUACACUAUCUAAGGAGUAGCUGUACUUUCACCACUUUACUUUCUUAAUAAACUUGUUUUUACUUUGCA